Molecule: non-coding RNA, 166 nt
Organism: Spinacia oleracea (spinach)
Lineage: Eukaryota; Viridiplantae; Streptophyta; Magnoliopsida; Caryophyllales; Amaranthaceae
Source: Rfam
UUACAUACCUGGACGGGGCUAAUGGGUGAUCAGGAAGGCCCAUGGCCUAGGCUGGUGGCUUCCAUUGCACAUCAUUGGGGAGGUGCACCCGCCUAACAUCUCCCUUGAUGGGAGACUGUACGUCGUAAUUUGUUGGAGAGAGGGCCUGCGCUCGUCGCGGCCCUUA